AUGUUACGCCAAUUUGAACUUGCUCGGUCUGUUCAAUUGCGGCCUUAUAAUGCAAUCUCAUUCUCUGGUCCAAUUGCUGUUUUUGUUUAUGUAUUCCUUAUUUAUCCACUGGGGCAAUCUGGUUGGUUCUUUGCGCCGAGUUUUGGCGUAGCAGCGAUAUUUCGAUUCAUCCUUUUCUUCCAAGGAUUUCAUAAUUGGAUGUUGAACCCAUUUCAUAUGACGGGACUUGCCGGAGUAUUAGGUGCGGCUCUGCUAUGCGCUAUUCAUGGAGCGGCCGUAGAAAACACUCUAUUUGAGGACGGUGAUGGUGCAAAUACCUUCCGUGCUUUUAACCCAACUCAAGCUGAAGAAACUUAUUCCAUGGUCACUGCUAACCGCUUUUGGUCCCAAAUCUUUGGUGUUGCUUUUUCCAAUAAACGUUGGUUACAUUUCUUUAUGCUAUUUGUACCCGUCACCGGUUUAUGGAUGAGUGCUAUUGGCGUAGUUGGCUUGGCUCUGAACUUACGUGCCUAUGACUUUGUUUCCCAGGAAAUCCGUGCAGCGGAAGAUCCUGAAUUUGAGACUUUGUACACCAAAAAUAUUCUUUUAAACGAGGGUAUUUGUGCGUGGAUGGCAGCUCAGGAUCAGCCUCAUGAAAAUCUUAUAUUCCCAGAGGAGGUUCUACCACGUGGAAACGCUCUUUAA
This 684-nucleotide ribosomal RNA is filed under the name Triticum aestivum (bread wheat). Its description in RNAcentral is "partial small subunit ribosomal RNA". Lineage: Eukaryota; Viridiplantae; Streptophyta; Magnoliopsida; Poales; Poaceae. The record is from RNAcentral.